UACGGGGGGGGCAAGCGUUGUUCGGAAUUACUGGGCGUAAAGGGCUCGUAGGCGGCCAACUAAGUCAGACGUGAAAUCCCUCGGCUUAACCGGGGAACUGCGUCUGAUACUGGUUGGCUUGAAUCCGGGAGAGGGAUGUGGAAUUCCAGGUGUAGCGGUGGAAUGCGUAGAUAUCUGGAGGAACACCGGUGGCGAAGGCGGCAUCCUGGACCGGUAUUGACGCUGAGGAGCGAAAGCCAGGGGAGCAAACGGG
RNAcentral lists this ribosomal RNA (253 nucleotides) under uncultured bacterium. Its description in RNAcentral is "partial 16S ribosomal RNA". It matches the Rfam family "Bacterial small subunit ribosomal RNA", at positions 524 to 776 of the family's 1533-position model. The record is from RNAcentral.